CCGUCUUUGACCUCGGAUCAGGUAGGGAUACCCGCUGAACUUAAGCAUAUCA
RNAcentral lists this ribosomal RNA (52 nucleotides) under Paraconiothyrium sp. HS-03. Its description in RNAcentral is "partial 28S ribosomal RNA". Lineage: Eukaryota; Fungi; Ascomycota; Dothideomycetes; Pleosporales; Didymosphaeriaceae. The record is from RNAcentral.